RNAcentral lists this ribosomal RNA (909 nucleotides) under uncultured Campylobacterota bacterium. Its description in RNAcentral is "bacterial SSU rRNA". It matches the Rfam family "Bacterial small subunit ribosomal RNA", at positions 335 to 1262 of the family's 1533-position model. Lineage: Bacteria; Pseudomonadati; Campylobacterota. The record is from RNAcentral.
ACUCCUACGGGAGGCAGCAGUGGGGAAUAUUGCACAAUGGGGGAAACCCUGAUGCAGCAACGCCGCGUGGAGGAUGACGCAUUUCGGUGUGUAAACUCCUUUUAUAUGGGAAGAUAAUGACGGUACCAUAUGAAUAAGCACCGGCUAACUCCGUGCCAGCAGCCGCGGUAAUACGGAGGGUGCAAGCGUUACUCGGAAUCACUGGGCGUAAAGCGCGCGCAGGCGGGCUAAUAAGUUGGAUGUGAAAGCCUACGGCUCAACCGUAGAACUGCAUCCAAAACUGUUAGUCUAGAGUCUGGGAGGGGAAGAUGGAAUUAGUUGUGUAGGGGUAAAAUCCGUAGAGAUAACUAGGAAUACCAAAAGCGAAGGCGAUCUUCUGGAACAGUACUGACGCUGAGGCGCGAAAGCGUGGGGAGCAAACAGGAUUAGAUACCCUGGUAGUCCACGCCCUAAACGAUGAAUGUUAGUCGUUGGAGUCCUAGUGACUUCGGUGAUGCAGCUAACGCAUUAAACAUUCCGCCUGGGGAGUACGGUCGCAAGAUUAAAACUCAAAGGAAUAGACGGGGACCCGCACAAGUGGUGGAGCAUGUGGUUUAAUUCGAAGAUACGCGAAGAACCUUACCUAGCCUUGACAUAUAUUAGAACUCCGCAGAGAUGCAGAGGUGCCUUCGGGAGCUUUUAUACAGGUGCUGCACGGCUGUCGUCAGCUCGUGUCGUGAGAUGUUGGGUUAAGUCCCGCAACGAGCGCAACCCUCGUCACUAGUUACUAACGGUUCGGCCGAGGACUCUAGUGAGACUGCCUUCGCAAGGAGGAGGAAGGUGAGGACGACGUCAAGUCAUCAUGGCCCUUACGGCUAGGGCAACACACGUGCUACAAUGGCCAGGACAGUGAGACGCGAUACCGCGAGG